UGACAGGCCGCUAGAGUGAGAGGACAUUAUGAAGAUACCAUGGAUCCAUGAAAAGGGACCUUUAUUGGCCUACAAGGGCUUGAGCUUCAGGACUCCUGAGACCUCUGGUGCCACCCCAUGAAACUUCAGCUGGAGAGGAAAUCAGCCGUCCUGCAAGCCCACAGACCUCUCCCUUGUCAGUGCAAAUAAAACCUAAGGAGAUUCAGGAUGAUUCUGGAACAACAGCAAGCUACAGGACCAUGCUGGUCUGCAGGAGUGACUGUUCCUGAGCAUACAACCAUGACCCUCUGCCUGUAUUCCACUCAUGCCUCUGUUCCUCGUACAUUCACUAAAAGGUGAGAGCUGCUGUGGGUAAAGGCCCUUUGUCUCUCACGGAAACUGCCUGUCCCAGAGCCCUUUUACAACUGCAGUUCUCUCUUGUUCCAUUGCCAGCUAUGUACCCCCACAGCACUGAAUGGCAGACUGAGCCUUUUGUGAGGGUCUUCAGUAAUGCGGGUCCGGAAUGGAUUUUAUGGUAGGUAGUGGAGCCGGACAUUUAGUAGUGAUGUAUGGCCCAA
RNAcentral lists this long non-coding RNA (557 nucleotides) under Chinchilla lanigera (long-tailed chinchilla). RNAcentral's name for it is "lncRNA (ENSCLAG00000028322.1)". Lineage: Eukaryota; Metazoa; Chordata; Mammalia; Rodentia; Chinchillidae. The record is from RNAcentral.